GAUGAACGCUGGCGGCGUGCCUAAUACAUGCAAGUCGAGCGAACAGACAAGGAGCUUGCUCCUCUGACGUUAGCUUCACAUGGGUUAGUAACCCGACGAUUACCUACCUAUAAGACUACCUUCCCUUCGCAAAACCGUAGCUAAUACCAGAUAAUAUUUUUAACCUCAUGGUUAUUUAUUAAAAGACGUUUUUGCUGUCACUUUUCGAUGGAUACGCGCCGCCUGAGCUCGUUGGUAAGAUAACGGCUUACGAAGGCAACGAUGAGUAGCCGACCUGAGAGGGUGAUCGGGCACACUGGAACUGAGACACGAUCGAGACACCUACGGGAGGCAGCAGUAGGAAAUCUUACGCGAGGGGGGAAAGGGUGACGGAGCAAAGCCGAGUGAGUGAUGAAGGUGUUAGGAUCGUAAAACGCUGUUAUUAGGGAAUAACAAAUGUGUAAGUAAAUAUGCACGACAUGACGGUACCUAAUCAGAAAGCCACGGCUAACUACGUG
This 497-nucleotide ribosomal RNA is filed under the name uncultured bacterium. Its description in RNAcentral is "partial 16S ribosomal RNA". It matches the Rfam family "Bacterial small subunit ribosomal RNA", at positions 28 to 507 of the family's 1533-position model. The record is from RNAcentral.